This 24-nucleotide non-coding RNA is filed under the name Rattus norvegicus (Norway rat). Lineage: Eukaryota; Metazoa; Chordata; Mammalia; Rodentia; Muridae. The record is from RNAcentral.
GUUUUAGGAGGUUCUACAUGAGGC